This 378-nucleotide ribosomal RNA is filed under the name uncultured bacterium. RNAcentral's name for it is "bacterial SSU rRNA". It matches the Rfam family "Bacterial small subunit ribosomal RNA", at positions 521 to 896 of the family's 1533-position model. The record is from RNAcentral.
UAAGACGAACCGUGCUAACGUUAUUCGGAUUCACUGGGCUUAAAGCGCGUGUAGGCGGGCCAGCACGUCGGUCGCUGAAAUCCCCCGGCUUAACCGGGGAACGGGCGCCGAUACGACUGGCCUGGAGGGAGGUAGGGGGAGCCGGAACUCACGGUGGAGCGGUGAAAUGCGUUGAGAUCGUGAGGAACGCCCGUGGCGAAAGCGGGCUCCUGGACCUCGCCUGACGCUGAGACGCGAAAGCCAGGGGAGCGAACGGGAUUAGAUACCCCGGUAGUCCUGGCCGUAAACACUGGGCACUGGGUAGGGGACUCGCCGAUGGGUUCCCUGCCGCAGCGAAAGCGUGAAGUGCCCCGCCUGGGGAGUAUGGUCGCAAGGCUG